Brassica napus (rape) is the source of this 1114-nucleotide long non-coding RNA. RefSeq lists it as uncharacterized. The transcript is spliced from 2 exons. The record is from RefSeq and is a predicted model, not a curated record. Lineage: Eukaryota; Viridiplantae; Streptophyta; Magnoliopsida; Brassicales; Brassicaceae.
UUUUUAUGCAUAAUACAUGUUUAUGUAAAAUAAAUUUUUAUGUCCCAUGUAAAUGUAUUGAUUUUGUGCAUUCAUGUUUAUCUUUAGUCAUCAAUUUGUAUAUACACAGUAAUAUUGCUCGAUUUUAUAGAACAAAAACUAGCCUCUCACUUAUUUACAUCAUCUGUAUUAUCAUUAAACUAUCCUCUUACUUAUACGGUAAGAGUUACAAAAGCAAUAUAAGACCACUAGCCACUCUAAUGAUAUUGAAACAACAAAAAAUAAGCUUUUGGAGACUUUAGUUUGUGGAAAUGGGUUGUACAUAUAUAAUUGAUUGUUUGGUCCAAUAGAUGAUUUGGAGGAGACUAGUAAAGCCCAAAAGGAUACAUCAGAUUGUGGAAUAUGAAGAGAAGGAGAUGAUCGGUGUUAGCACACACACACACAAAAAGGACAUGAUCGGUCAGACGAGUGAUGAUAACCAUAGCAUCAUGUCGACGAAGCCAAGCCACCGACAGUCACAGCUCACCGUACUUUGAGCAGUUGGUUGGUUUUUACCUGAAUCUGCUUCAAUUUGGAUUUGCAAGUGAUGGAUGAGCUUGAUUCUGGUGAUUUGGUUUCGAUUAAGUGAAUUUGAGGAAAAGCAAUCACAACUUUUGUUGUCUUGUCGGAAAAGAGAGAAGAAGAUUGUGUAUAAACGUAGAAUGACCGAUUUUUGGGUCACAUGAUUUCACGUUUCAACGGCCGCGUAAUGUUAAACCACGCUUUCUGCGGUCAAGAAUCGGUAUGGCGUUGAAGGCAACCGUAUUGGCUCAACUCGCCUCGGUGAGCUCACGUUUCACGAGUACUUGGCCGAUUACGUGCCUACUCGGCCGCGUUUCAGAACAAGUAUUAAGUUGGAGAUUGAUGGAUUUUGUUAGUUGAUUUGGUAGUAGAAAAUUUUAUGGCGAGAAUCGGUUUUGCAGUUAUAUUCGACUUCAAUAACAAUUAUAUGAUUUGAAAAAUAUAAUAAGAUUUUGGUUAUACAAUAAUGUGAAGGUAAUAAUGUUAUUUUUGACAAAAUACUAGGUUCUGACUAGCAUUUUAAAAUUUCAGAGAUAUUUUUCCUAACAAAAUUUAAUUAUAUAAUAUAUAGUUU